RNAcentral lists this ribosomal RNA (253 nucleotides) under uncultured bacterium. RNAcentral describes it as "partial 16S ribosomal RNA". It matches the Rfam family "Bacterial small subunit ribosomal RNA", at positions 524 to 776 of the family's 1533-position model. The record is from RNAcentral.
GACGAAGGUGGCGAGCGUUGUUCGGAAUCACUGGGCAUAAAGCGCACGUAGGCGGCGACAUAAGUCGUGUGUGAAAUCCCUCGGCCUAACCGAGGAACUGCGCCCGAUACUGCGUUGCUUGAGGACCAAAGGGGUGAUCGGAAUUUCCGGUGGAGCGGUGAAAUGCGUUGAUAUCGGAAGGAACGUCGGCGGCGAAAGCGGAUCACUGGUUGGUUUCUGACGCUGAGGUGCGAAAGCCAGGGGAGCAAACGGG